UAACCGUAACAUCACAGUCCCAGACAGAAACGCAAGCCUCAACUCAAAAAUGGCGACAACUGAUUCUCCUCCGGUCGGCGCGAUACUCCCCGACGAUCUGAUCACCGAGAUUCUCAUACGCCUCCCUGUUAAAUACAUAUUCCGCUGCCAAUCCGUCUCUAAAGCCUGGCUUUCCCUAAUUAAAAACCCUAAUUUCGUCAAAUCUCAGCUCCGUCACUCAAUCGAAAGCUUCAACACUAAUCAAACCCUCAUCGUCAACACCCUCGAUGAAUACGAGGAAAGUCACACCUCAAUUUCACUCCUCAGCGUCGAUUUUCGUCGAAUUGUGGCUCGUCUCAGGUUUCCGUUUUCUCGAGGUGAGUUUGAUUAUGUGCCUGAUUGUAUACUCGUUGGUUCUGCUAAUGGCAUUGUUUGUCUUUCUGUUGCUCUUUCUGAAACUCCUCCUGAAUAUAAAUGGCAUUGUUCGCCUUUCGCGAAUCGUGAAACUAAUACUUAUCUGUGGAAUCCUGCUACUAGACAGUCGAAAGUUAUUCCGUCGUAUAGUAUAUGUCAUGAUUAUCGUAGAGAGGCUUUGGGGUUUGGUUUUGACCCGAUAGAUAAUGAUUUUAAGGUUGUUAGGAUUGUAGCGCCCCCCUUUUCCGCAGAGGUGUAUUCGGCUAAUAGGAAUGCUUGGAGAAAGUUGCCUGGGCCGGUAGUUCUUCCUUUUGAUGAUGCUUUUGAUGUUUGUGUUAAUGGAUUCCUUUGUUGCACUGGAUUGUAUGGUGUGAUGGCGUUCGAUUUGAACAAGGAGGUGAUGAAUAGUGGUUUAAAGUUCCCUGUUACGACCUCUAAUGCUCGUGUCACCGAGUUUGAUGCGUCUAUUGCUUUAUUGCUAUGGAGGAAUAAGAAUUCGAGUAACCAGAUUGAUAUGUGGAAGUUGGAUGAUGAGGCAUGCCUGCGUGGUGGUGGAGUAGAGGCAUCUUGGACUAUAGUUUUUAGUGUUGAUUUGGAUCUGACGGUAGAUUCUGUUCACGGCUACUUACCCAGAGGGGAUAUCUUACUGAUGACUGAUGAGGGCGUGUGGUGUUUGUAUGACACCAACAAGAAAAAGGCCACAAUUGUCCCGGUUGCAAUUGAUAUGCAUCAAACUUUCAAGUAUACAGAGAGCCUAGUUUCAGUCUCGGGAUUCAAACAAGUCAACUAGAAUGCUCGGAAAGAUGAUAAUUUAAAAAGCAAUGAGGAUUCUGGCUGGCUAUCGACAGUUGAUACUUGAGACAGUUCGACGCCACAACCUUUUGCAGGCUGUUAUCUGCUGUCUGUUAUCUCUUGUGAUAUUACUCGAUCCUCACCUACCUAGUUGAGUUUCUUACGAUCCUAGGUUGUUUACAUGCUUAGUGUUCUACGCGAAGGGAAGAGAGGCUGUAGCUGUUCCUAUCUGUAUCUAAUGUGCCGGUGGGACUCGAGCUCGGCUCGACUCGGCGCAAACUUGUUAUCGAGCUCGAACAGAUAUUUGGACUAAAUUAAAAACUCAAGUCGAGCCAAGUUGACUCCCGCCCUCCCUCCCUCACUCACUCACGACUCUCCAAGUAUGAAUUUCUACAAUUGUUCACGGUUACUUCUGUAGUGGAGAUCUCUUACUGAUGACUGAUGCUGGAAGAGCUUGGUCCGUUUAAAAUUGUAAGGUUAUGUUUUCUACUUGGAUAAUUUCUGAAAUGGGUGAAUCCUUGAGAAAUUGCAAAGUGGGCGCCAUGUUUGGCCCGACUACACUGCAAGGAUUGAUAUUGAUAGGGAUUCUUCUCCUGGGUUGCUACAUGGUUUUAAACUUCUUUCGUUCUUCCUUUCAUAAGUUACUCCUGGUGUGGUCCUCUGAUUUUGAGAGAAAUGAUUCAGGUAUUCUUUCUCACUCUGUAAAGAUUGUAUAAUAGAAAGAUUACAGUGUUAAUUUUUGAGCAGCUAGAUACAUCAAAGUAGAUUGGUUUCUGUGAUGUCUUCGGGGGAGAUCAUUGUUGAAUGAUGCAGAGCGGAUAGUAAAGGUAAAUUGUAACAGUGAGUUCAUCAUUGUGUAGAUUCCGAUCAGCUUUUGCUUUUUUUGCCCAAAAUUAAUCGAUCUUGAUGUGAUCAUCAACAGGUGGUGGAAAAGCUAGCUCUCAUUUAAUUUAAUUUUUUCUUUUCUCAGUCUACUAAUUUAAAAAGUGGAACUUUUCUUAUCACAGGGUUUGUUGAAAAUUGAGGGUAAAUAAAAUUAUUCAUCAAUUUUAUCUCCAAGUAAAGAAAACUUGAUUAUUUUCCAAAUGAAAAUUGAAAACUACAUUAUGUACUUGUUUUGUCAUUGUAAUCAGAAGAACUAAAACUCUAGUAAAUUAACAUGUUGCGUGUACGUUUCACCUAAUAAGCCUUAUAAACGGGAUACAAAAUUGCACUUAAUUAACACACAAAUGCAUGUAAUCUUAUAUGAAGACACAUGUCGGUACCUCCUACACGUGUUCAAUGCCUGAAGUGUGUUUUAAGCCCUUGUAAACUUCAAGAGAAGCUUUGUUUGCAUGUAGUAGCACUAUAUUGUCUCUGCAUAUGCAAGGACAAUCCUGAGGAGGAAUCGAAGGUGUUGAGUUCUUCACCAGGUGUUCUGUUUUAUGGUUUGGCAACAAUAUUUACUUGAAAUUUACUGUACUGUGUCUGAUGCAAUUCAUCUUUAUACUUCAUUUUACAUUGUGAUGCAGAUCAUCCGUUAGUUACUCACCGUUGAGGCGAUGUCGAGGACUCGUGCUUCUGGCCAGAGGAAUGAUUGUCCAAAUGCGCUGCACCGUGCUCGCUCGGAGCUACGACGUGCUGCUUCCAGCAUUCUCGGGAUCGUGGACCAGCUUAAGGAAGUCAACCAGGAUACUCGAGAACAUAAUCAGUAUCAGGAAUCUAUGAUCAAUGCACUUGCUGUUGAGAACUUUCAGCUCAAAGAAGAGAAUGGAGCGGCUAAAGAGCUGCUUAUUUCGAAUCUGCCAGAGUAUUUUAGUGAGUAUGGAAUAGAGAUCAAAGCUAUGGAGAGAUAGAUAUAUCUCCUUUCAUCAACAUCUAUUCGAAAAGACAGUCGGCUAAACUGUCCAAUGAUGCCACGAUAAUGAAAGCCACCCAGGAGUGUACACAAUGGCAGGAAAAACUUAAAGACCCGGCUUGGUACCCUUUCAAGAAAGUGAAGGAAGGAGGAAUUGAGAAAGUAUGAUCAUCAUGAGACUGAGAUGGUGGACGAAGAAGAUGCAGAGCUGAAGAAGCUGCGGAAAGAAAUGGGGGUAUCUGUUUAAGGCUGUAAAGAGGGGUCUAGAGGAAAUCAAUGAACAUAACCCAAGCGGACGCUAUCCUGUUGCGAAGCUGUGGCAUGUGGAAGAUAAUAGAGAGGCAAGACUCGACGAGAUUGUGGAGUGUAUGAUGAAGAAAACAACUCCCAAGCGCAAAAGAGUUGGUGAUGAAGAAAACAACUCCCCAGCGCAGAAGAGUUAAUUCCUGAUAACGCUACCAAUGCAUGUGCUUCUGGUGGAUGAAAAUGUGAACCUCAACAUUUGGUUAGCUCAGUAAAGCAAGAUAGUUAGCGGCCAGCUUUUAUUCAACUUUGGUUUUGUGCACGCUUUAGCAACAGUUCAAGUUUAGGUUGAUAAUAUGCUUAAUUGGCCAUAUCCUGGUUGAUUAGUACUGAUCUUUUCAUGUAUUGUAUACUCUAUUUUCAUGGAUGCUGCUGCUUGUUUCUGUUUUGGUGGUCUGCAGAAUAUAUCAACCCGGCUUGAAUUUAUGUAAUUUAUAUUGUAGGAUAUUAUAUUGA
Molecule: RNA transcript, 3781 nt
Organism: Daucus carota subsp. sativus
Lineage: Eukaryota; Viridiplantae; Streptophyta; Magnoliopsida; Apiales; Apiaceae
Gene name: F-box protein CPR1
Exons: 7
Source: RefSeq, a predicted model, not a curated record